GCGUCGGUAAUACAUGGUUAGCAUACGCUCCCGGAAAGAGUGAGACCUGGGUUCAAAUCCCGGCUGACGCA
Molecule: non-coding RNA, 71 nt
Organism: Parelaphostrongylus tenuis
Lineage: Eukaryota; Metazoa; Nematoda; Chromadorea; Rhabditida; Metastrongylidae
Source: the annotation of a GenBank genome assembly